GGCUGCUAUACUGCAGUCGAGCGAACAGAUAAGGAGCUUGCUCCUUUGACGUUAGCGGCGGACGGGUGAGUAACACGUGGGUAACCUACCUAUAAGACUGGAAUAACUCCGGGAAACCGGGGCUAAUGCCGGAUAACAUUUAGAACCGCAUGGUUCUAAAGUGAAAGAUGGUUUUGCUAUCACUUAUAGAUGGACCCGCGCCGUAUUAGCUAGUUGGUAAGGUAAUGGCUUACCAAGGCAACGAUACGUAGCCGACCUGAGAGGGUGAUCGGCCACACUGGAACUGAGACACGGUCCAGACUCCUACGGGAGGCAGCAGUAGGGAAUCUUCCGCAAUGGGCGAAAGCCUGACGGAGCAACGCCGCGUGAGUGAUGAAGGGUUUCGGCUCGUAAAACUCUGUUAUUAGGGAAGAACUAACGUGUAGGUAACAUGUGCGCGUCUUGACGGUACCU
This 453-nucleotide ribosomal RNA is filed under the name Staphylococcus arlettae. RNAcentral's name for it is "bacterial SSU rRNA". It matches the Rfam family "Bacterial small subunit ribosomal RNA", at positions 41 to 480 of the family's 1533-position model. Lineage: Bacteria; Bacillati; Bacillota; Bacilli; Caryophanales; Staphylococcaceae. The record is from RNAcentral.